This 1721-nucleotide long non-coding RNA is filed under the name Homo sapiens (human). RNAcentral describes it as "HSALNT0061249". The record is from RNAcentral. Lineage: Eukaryota; Metazoa; Chordata; Mammalia; Primates; Hominidae.
GGGGUCUGCAUCUUGUGAGUGAGCACAAGCCCUGGCACAGAGGGAAUGCUUGCUUAGCAUUUGUGGAAUGGAGGGCCAGAUGCUUGGAUGAAAUGCACACACACAGUGGCCAUGAAUCUUAAGAAGCGUCAGUGGCUAGAAAGAAGAUGGUGUAAAUUUUAUCCCCCUCCCUGUUUCUGACAGAAUAUCCUCCUCUUCUGGUAACAGGUUUUGAGACGAAACAUGGCACGAGUCUCUCAGAACCCUGCUUGAGCAGAGCAGUUACAUUAUAUUCCACAAGUCAUAAAUAUUUGGGGAGCAAAAUCGAUUCCUGCAGCAGUGGUGGAGGGAUGAGUGAUUGCUGUACUUUGAUACAAGUCAUCUACCUCGUGGCCAGCUGAGGUGGAUUAAAGUCUUCCCAGGAGGUAGGGCUUAAUCUCUGGCCAUAGGGCUCCUGGAAUGGCCAUAGAGGGUAGUCAGUGUGGGCUACUGUCCUUCUGGUCCCUGCCAGAGGUCAAGGCUGACAGGCACAGGAACAAUUCCUUCAAGGCCUGAUGGCCCAGAAAAUAAAGUUUGACUCCUUCAUUUGGCCGCGGGAGUGUCUUCGCUGCACACAGCAGCUGAGCUCAGUCGGGAAUGCUCAUUCAGGCUCCCUGCCUGUGGGUAACCUGGACUCUAUCCUGGUCUCUCCAUGUUUGCUGUGUGAGCUGUGAGCCCUGAAUAGGAUGCAGAGCAGAAGCCCCCUGCCUUUAGUUUCCUCUUAGCCUAUCUACAAUUCUUCCCUGCCUGGAAAGGGUGUUCGGAACAGGCCUCUCACCAUCUGCUUCUUUUACCUGUUUUACUCUCCCUUUCUCCUACUCAUGGAGGGUGGAAUUUCUACUUCCAGUUUCUAUUUAAAAGGGAUUUUCCCAUAUGCCAUUUCUACUCCAUCCUUUCCUCCCACCAUGAUGACUGGCUGGCUGCUGAGAAACAUGAUUUAUGCAGGAGAGGGUGAUAAACACAUAGUUUAAUGUUUUCUAAAUAUGAACCUUGUUUUUCUCAUUUUAUCUACAAGCAUGUGUGACUGUGGUGUGCAUAAAACUGUGUCAACAAUGGUUUCUUUCCUUGAGGAGCUCACAUUUACAAAGAAAGGAAGAAAUUUCAACCAAAAAAUAAAAAACACCAAACCUGAAAGGAAAAUCAACAGCAAGAGCCUGGACUUUCUAAACUAGGAGGAAGGCAGAGCUCCAGGAGACUCUUCUCAUUUCUCUGAGGGCAUGGAAACUCCAAUGUGGAAUAGAGCUUGGAGUUUAAAAAGAUAGUCUCUUCUGUGUCCUGGAUAGAGACCACACCAAAGGUUUGCAAUAUAGAGGCACAACAAUCAAAAUCAUGAAUUGAGAUGUCCUUGACAUUCCAUUGUCAAGGGGAAUUAUUGCUUCCCUUGCAUUAAAGACAUUGUUGCCAAUGCAUAUUCUAUAAUGUACCUUUCUUUCCUAACAAAGAUUCCAGUUCAAUCUGCAUUUUCCUAUAGCUCAAAGUUUGCACUUUCAUUUAACCUAAUAAACAUCUGACCUUCCCAAGGGAAAUAUAAACAAAAUCUUGACUUUCAAGUAUUGUGGUCAUUCUUGGUGGAGACAUGCACUGGAUCAUCAUAUCAACCUUGACUAUUAUUUCCUAUGACACACCAGAUUAGCUGGUUUACAGUUAAUUCAGCCAGUUACAAAUUCUUCAUAGGUAAGAGUUUAGCUUUUAAUCUGAUGCCA